This 497-nucleotide ribosomal RNA is filed under the name uncultured bacterium. RNAcentral's name for it is "partial 16S ribosomal RNA". It matches the Rfam family "Bacterial small subunit ribosomal RNA", at positions 28 to 507 of the family's 1533-position model. The record is from RNAcentral.
GAUGAACGCUGGCGGCGUGCCUAAUACAUGCAAGUCGAGCGAACGGACGAGAAGCUUGCUUCUCUGAUGUUAGCGGCGGACGGGUGAGUAACACGUGGAUAACCUACCUAUAAGACUGGGAUAACUUCGGGAAACCGUAGCUAAUACCGGAUAAUAUUUUGAACCGCAUGGUUCAAAAGUGAAAGACGGUCUUGCUGUCACUUAUAGAUGGAUCCGCGCUGCAUUAGCUAGUUGGUAAGGUAACGGCUUACCAAGGCAACGAUGCAUAGCCGACCUGAGAGGGUGAUCGGCCACACUGGAACUGAGCCACGGUCCAGACUCCUACGGGAGGCAGAAGUAGGGAAUCUUCCGAAAUGGGCGAAAGCCUGAAGGAGCAACGCCGCGUGAGUGAUGAAGGUCUUCGGAUCGUAAAACUCUGUUAUUAGGGAAGAACAUAUGUGUAAGUAACUGUGCACAUCUUGACGGUACCUAAUCAGAAAGCCACGGCUAACUACGUG